Molecule: ribosomal RNA, 471 nt
Filed under: uncultured bacterium
Lineage: Bacteria
Description: bacterial SSU rRNA
Rfam family: Bacterial small subunit ribosomal RNA
Source: RNAcentral
UCAAGGGGGCCCAGCAAUGGGCAACCGGCGAACGGGUGCGUAACACGUGAGCAACCUACCGAAUUGUGGGGGAUAGCCGGCCCAACGGCCGGGUAAUACCGCAUACGCUCGAGACGAGGCAUUUCGACUCGAGGAAAUCUACGGAGCAAUUCGAGGGGCUCGCGGCCUAUCAGCUAGUUGGUGAGGUAACGGCUCACCAAGGCGACGACGGGUAGCUGGUCUGAGAGGAUGGCCAGCCACAUUGGGACUGAGAUACGGCCCAGACUCCUACGGGAGGCAGCAGUGGGGGAUCUUGCGCAAUGGCCUAACGGCUGACGCAGCGACGCCGCGUGAGGGAUGACGCUCUUCGGAGUGUAAACCUCUUUUGCCCGGGACGAAUUGCCAGUUUUCGCUGGCUUGACGGUACCGGGUGAAUAAGCACCGGCUAACUCCGUGCCAGCAGCCGCGGUAAUACGGGGGGUGCGAGCGUUG